GACGAACCGUGCGAACGUUGUUCGGAUUCACUGGGCUUAAAGGGCGCGUAGGCGGCUCGCCAAGUCGGGGGUGAAAUCUUUCGGCUCAACCGGAAAACAGCUUCCGAUACUGGCGGGCUCGAGUGGGGUAGGGGCGACUGGAACUUCCGGUGGAGCGGUGAAAUGCGUAGAUAUCGGAAGGAACGCCGGUGGCGAAAGCGAGUCGCUGGACCCCUCCUGACGCUGAGGCGCGAAAGCCAGGGGAGCAAACGGG
This 253-nucleotide ribosomal RNA is filed under the name uncultured bacterium. Its description in RNAcentral is "partial 16S ribosomal RNA". It matches the Rfam family "Bacterial small subunit ribosomal RNA", at positions 524 to 776 of the family's 1533-position model. The record is from RNAcentral.